UACGUAGGGUGCGAGCGUUGUCCGGAAUUACUGGGCGUAAAGGGCUCGUAGGUGGUUUGUCGCGUCGUCUGUGAAAUUCCGGGGCUUAACUCCGGGCGUGCAGGCGAUACGGGCAUAACUUGAGUACUGUAGGGGUAACUGGAAUUCCUGGUGUAGCGGUGAAAUGCGCAGAUAUCAGGAGGAACACCGAUGGCGAAGGCAGGUUACUGGGCAGUUACUGACGCUGAGGAGCGAAAGCAUGGGUAGCGAACAGGAUUAGAUAC
This 263-nucleotide ribosomal RNA is filed under the name uncultured Actinomycetales bacterium. Its description in RNAcentral is "partial 16S ribosomal RNA". It matches the Rfam family "Bacterial small subunit ribosomal RNA", at positions 524 to 785 of the family's 1533-position model. The record is from RNAcentral. Lineage: Bacteria; Bacillati; Actinomycetota; Actinomycetes; Actinomycetales.